Molecule: ribosomal RNA, 485 nt
Filed under: uncultured bacterium
Lineage: Bacteria
Description: bacterial SSU rRNA
Rfam family: Bacterial small subunit ribosomal RNA
Source: RNAcentral
UGCAAGUCGAACGGUCGUUUCUAUGGAAGCUUGCUUCCACUGAGAAGAUAGUGGCGAACGGGUGAGUAACACGUGGGUAACCUGCCCAUAAGAGGGGGAUAACGAUCCGGAAACGGUGCUAAUACCGCAUAGUUCCUGAUCGCAUGAUGAGAAAGGAAGACGGCCUUGUGCUGUCGCUUAUGGAUGGACCCGCGGCGUAUUAGUUAGUGGUGAGGUAACGGCUCACCAAGACGAUGAUACGUAGCCGACCUGAGAGGGUGAUCGGCCACAUUGGGACUGAGACACGGCCCAAACUCCUACGGGAGGCAGCAGUAGGGAAUCUUCCGCAAUGGACGAAAGUCUGACGGAGCAACGCCGCGUGAGUGAAGAAAAGGUUUCGGAUCGUAAAACUCUGUUGUCAGAGAAGAACAAGUUGGAGAGUAACUGCUCCAGCCUUGACGGUAUCUGACCAGAAAGCCACCGGCUAACUACGUGCCAGCCGCCGC